This is a non-coding RNA of Solanum lycopersicum (tomato), 4322 nucleotides long. The record is from RefSeq and is a predicted model, not a curated record. NCBI's taxonomy places the organism in Eukaryota, Viridiplantae, Streptophyta, Magnoliopsida, Solanales, Solanaceae.
AAAGUUGGAUACUUAUUGGAAAUAGAGCGUUACCACAAUAUUUAAAUGGUGUGGAGCUAUUUUUGAAUUUUGCAUUUUCUAAUCUUGAGGUUGGUGUAAGAAUUAAAUGUCCGUGCAUAAAAUGCAAUAAUGCUCUUUGGAAAACGCGAGAUGAAGUGAGAAUAGAUUUGUGUAGGUUUGGAAUGAAUCAAACAUAUAAAAAGUGGAUUCAUCAUGGAGAGCUAGAUCUUUCUUCAGAUGAUGAAACAAAUCUUAGUGAAGAUUCAAGUUUAGCAAAUGAUCAUGUUCCAAUUUAUGAAAUGUUGCAUGAUAUAUAUCAUGGUGAUCCCAGCAAUAGUGAUGAGUUUAAUGACACAACUAAGUCUCCGAACGAAGAGCCUAAUACAGAAGCUAAGAGAUUCUAUAAGUUAAUGAAAGAUGCAGAAAAUUGAUUGUAUCCAAGUUGUGAAAAGUACUCCAAACUAUCUUUUAUAGUGCGUCUUUUUCAAAUGAAGUGUAUGCAUGGAUGGAGUAAUACUUCAUUUGACUCUUUGUUGAAAUUAAUUAGUGAUGCUUUACCUAAAGAAAAUGUGCUCCCAGAUUCUAUUUAUGAAGUUCAAAAGAUAAUAAAAGAUUUGGGUUUAGAUUAUGUGAAGAUAGAUGCAUGCGUUAAUAACUGUAUCUUAUAUAGAAAGGAAUAUGUGAAUCUUGAACAAUGUCCUAAAUGUGGUGAAAAAAGAUGGACAAUGAGAAAAGGAAAAGAUUCCAAUAGUGAAGUUGCUUCGGGUAAUUUGAAUAACAAAAAGAAAGGUAUUUCUAGAAAGAUUCUUAGAUACUUUCCUAUUAUACCUAGAUUACAACGAUUGUUUAUGACUAAAGGAACCGCAAAAGAAAUGAGGUGGCAUAAGGAUGAAAGAGUUGAUGAUGGAGUGUUACGACAUCCUGCUGACUCGUUGGCGUGGAAAAGUUUUGAUGAAAAAUAUCCAAAUUUUGCUUCAGAUCCUCGUAGCAUAAGACUUGGACUUGCAUCAGAUGGUUUUAAUCCUUUUGGUUCAAUGAGUAAUUCAUAUAGCAUGUGGCCAGUUAUCUUGAUUCCAUAUAAUCUUCCCCCGUGGAUAUGCAUGAAACAAUCUAAUCUUUUGUUGUCUUUACUUAUUCCUGGACCGAAAGGUCCUGGUAUGGAUAUUGACGUGUAUCUCCAACCUUUGGUUGAUGAUUUGAAAAUCUUAUGGGGGGAUGGAAUUGAGACUUAUGAUGCUUUUAUGAAACAAAAUUUUCAAUUACAUGCUUCAUUGUUGUGGACAAUCAAUCAUUUUCCUGCUUAUGGUAUUUUAUCUGGUUAGAGCACUAAAGGUAAAUUAGCUUGUCCAGUUUGUCAUGUGCAUACUUGCUCUUCUUACUUGAAACAUGGUCGAAAGCAAUGUUAUAUGGGUCAUCGUAGGUUCUUGGAGAUGAAUCAUCCUUAUCGUCGAAAUAAAAGUCUUUUCGAUAAUACAAAGCAAGAAAGAAUUGCACCACAUGCUUUGAAUGGUGAAGAUGUUCUUGUUCAAAUUAAUACCUCUUUGCAAAGGUCUGCUGAUGACAAAACAAGAAAAAGAAAACGAGAUACUGAAAGACAUGAUAAUUGGAAAAAGAAAAGUAUAUUCUUUGAACUUCCAUAUUGGCAGACUUUAUUGUUGAGACAUAAUUUGGAUGUGAUGCACAUUGAAAAGAAUAUUAGUGAAAGUGUGUUAGGUACAUUGUUGGAUAUUGAAGGGAAAACAAAAGACACCCUGAAAUCUCGAUUGGACUUACAAGAAAUGAAGAUCAAAAAGUCCCUUUAUCUCAUAAAAAGUGGGGAGAAAUACAUACUUCCUCCAGCAAGUUAUACGAUGUCUAAGGCCGAAAGGAUUCAAUUUUGUCAGCUCAUCAAAGAAGUUAAGUUUCCCGAUGCUUACGCUUCUAACAUUAGCCGUAUCAAGGAAGCUAAAAUUUUUGGGCUUAAAAGUCAUGAUCAUCAUAUUCUCUUUCAACGUAUAGUACCACUUAUCAUUAAAGAAAUUUUACCAAAAGAUGCACAUGACCCAUUAAUUGAAUUCUCAUUGUUCUUUAAUGAUUUGUGUUCUAAAGAGUUAUCUAUGGAGAAGCUAGAUCAGCUAGAUAAAAGCAUACGAGUAACACUAUGUAAAUUAGAACGUGUGUUCAUGCCGACGUUCUUCGAUGUUAUGGUUCAUUUGGCAAUUCAUUUGGCAAAUGAGGCAAAGUUGGGUGGUCCUGUUCAAUUUCGAUGGAUGUAUUACAUUGAACGGUUGGUUUCUUACUUUUUAAAUCUAUUCUUUUGAUUUAAAUUUAUUAAAAAAUUUAAUAUUUUUCUUCGUAGAUUCCUACGAACCUUGAAAGGUUAUGUACGCAACAAUUAUCAUGUAGAAGGAUCAAUUGCUGAGGGUCAAAUUGCAGGGGAAUGCAUUACAUUAUUCUCUAGAUAUUUGAGCGAUAUGGAAACAACGCAAUAUCGUCCAGAUAGGAAUUCUAAUUCUUUUAACAUUGACAACAAUAGCUUAACUAUAUUUAGUUGUCAUGGUAAACCACUAGCAGGGGGUUCCUGCACUAAUUUGAAUACUUUAGAAAUCAAUCAGGCUCAUUUUUACAUUCUCCAAAAUUGUAAGGAAGUCAGACCUUGGAUUGAGUAAGAUAUGGUUUACCUUUAAAUCAAUUUCUUACAAACACUUAACAAUUAUGUCUAAUUUAUUUAUUUUUUUCAAAUCUCCACAAGUAUAGGGAACAUCUAGAAAUUUUAACAAAGGAGAAUAAUAGAAAUGUAGCAAAGAGACACAAGGAGGAAUUUCCUUUAUGGUUUGAAAAAAAGGUAAAAUCAUUCAUUUAAUGAUUUGCAUAUUUAUUCUUUUAAAUAACAUUAAUAUUAUUUGUGAUUUUGUGAUUAAAAUACUACAGGUGAUACAGUUAAAGGAAAAUGGUGAUAACCGAAUUACUGAAGAAUUACUAAUUUUGGCAAGACCUUCAGACCGUCGAGUUUUUUGUUAUAGCGGAUAUAUCUUGAAUGGUUCUCGAUUUCGAACAAUGGAAUCUGAGCUAGGUUUGAAAACUCAAAAUAGUGGUGUGGUUGUGAAGAGUGAUGAACAUACAGGAAAUAUUGAUUAUUUUGGAAGGAUAAGAAGAAUUUUAGAGAUCCAAUAUAUGAACAAUAAAUCUGUUAUGUUAUUUCAAUGUGAUUGGUUUGAAGUUCCUACUCAAGGUCGUAGUCAAAGUAGAGGUUACAAAAAAGAUGAAUAUGGAUUUGUCUGUGUAGAUAUAACACGACUUCAUUACACUAGUGAUCCAUUCAUUCUAGGUUCACAGGCUCAAUCAGUGUAUUAUGUGAAACAUGGUCAAAGUGAAAAAUGGCAUUCAGUGAUAAGGGUAAGACCACAACAUUUGUAUGAUCUUCCCGAACAAAAAGAUGAAAUGGAACAAUAUCAACUGAUUGACUUAGUUGAAAGAGGAGAAACAAUUCAAGAAGUAGAGUUGGAGCAUGAUAACAUCAGAAUAGAAAGAGGAGAUAUUGAUGGAGUGAGUGUUGAAGCACCUCUCAAUAACGAGGAAGAAGCUGACUUAGUAGUUAUAGAUGAUAUUGAUCACGAAAAUGUAGACGAAUUCAGUGAUUCUGAAAUAGAUGAAGAUACUAGUGAAUACGAUGAAGUUGAGGAUGAUGAUUGGUUUUGAUUUUCAACUUGUCAUCAAGAUAAAAUUUGUUUGAAUAAGUUUGUUCAUAGAAGCUUUGUUUUUCACUUACCGAAACAAUUAAUUUCUAUUUUCUACUUUUCGCAUAUCUCUUUAUCUUAGAAACUUUACUUGUUUCUCUUAAUUUUUGAACAUUAUUUUAUCACUUUAUUAUUUUGGCAUUGCGUUUGUUGGUUAAUUGCAGCCAACCAUGAUGAAAAAUAUGCAUAUUUCUAAUGAUAAUGAAACUACUGAUGUAAGUGCAAUCCUCCCUCCAGAAAAAAAAGGAAGGUAAGAGGAAAGACAACAGGGCUUUCAACCCAAAAGAAACGUAAGGAAAAUGACAAUGGAAAGUUGAAGGUGAUCAUUCCACCAGAUCGAACAGUUGCAGUAGGUCCUGGAGCUAAAGAUUUUAUUACCGAGCUCUCUGUGAAAGUUCUCCAUAAUGCUAGACAUGAUGUGAAGAAUUGGAAGGGAGUUCCUGAUCUAGCAAAGAAUAGAAUUGUUGCUUAUAUGCUGGACACCUUUCAGCUUCCGGACAUACAACACAAUCGUGAUACCAUUCUUCAAACAGCAAAAAAUUUAUAUCGAUAUCGUCGGAGCAGACAUCAUGAUCAUUUUAAUAAAUUUUCUACAAAAGAGGAGAG